UCCGUAGGUGAACCUGCGGAAGGAUCAUUAAAAAAAGAGAAACGUCCCGUUUUUUUCAUAAGAAUGGGUUCUAUUCCCUUAAACCGUGUCUACGUACCCUUGUUGCUUUGGCAGGCCGCCUUCGGGCGUCGGCUCCGGCUGAUAGUGCCUGCCAGAGGACCCAAACUCUAUGUUUAGUGAUGUCUGAGUACUAUAUAAUAUUUAAAACUUUCAACAACGGAUCUCUUGGUUCUGGCAUCGAUGAAGAACGCAGCGAAAUGCGAUAAGUAAUGUGAAUUGCAGAAUUCAGUGAAUCAUCGAAUCUUUGAACGCACAUUGCGCCCCUUGGUAUUCCGAGGGGCAUGCCUGUUCGAGCGUCAUUAUAACCACUCAAGCCUGGCUUGGUAUUGGGGUUUUCGCGUGUUCGCGGCCCUUAAAAUCAGUGGCGGUGCCGUCUGGCUCUAAGCGUAGUAAUUUCUCUCGCUAUAGGGUUCCGGUGGUUACUUGCCAAAACCCCCCAUUUUUUCUAGGUUGACCUCGGAUCAGGUAGGGAUACCCGCUGAACUUAAGCAUAUC
RNAcentral lists this ribosomal RNA (555 nucleotides) under uncultured Meliniomyces. RNAcentral's name for it is "eukaryotic LSU rRNA". The stretch from base 206 to 359 matches the Rfam family "5.8S ribosomal RNA". Lineage: Eukaryota; Fungi; Ascomycota; Leotiomycetes; Helotiales; Helotiaceae. The record is from RNAcentral.